GUUCAAACCCCACAUGCCUUUGUUGCUGUGGCCUACUGGAGCAUCCCUCCAAUCUUUCAGAGAUGAUUUUUAUGCUCUUUUGAGGUAGUCUAUUUCAUUCGGUGAGGGGGAGAGGAAGCAAUUCACGUCUAGAUUGCUGCCAUGUUUACCCAGAAGUCAUCAAUCAUGAGUUUUUGAAGACUAUGUCAAGCACAGCCAAGGCUCAGGUUUGAUGAACAGCCCUGAUUCCCUGAACUUCCAACUGAGCUUUUCAGCAUGAGUUUCAUUAGACAGACGUAGAUGGAGCCUGCUGUAACCCAGCUGCAAAUGAGCUUACAAACCAUCCAAACUGGAAACCUUUGAAUGUGAAUAAUUCAGCACCUUCUUGCUCAAAUCAAACCUUCCUGUUGGGUUUACCAGGUCACUCCAGGGCCCAGCUGCAGCCUCUGCCAGACAGGGGACCAGGAGAACUCUUUUUCACUCAAAACAAGAUGGAUGGCAUUUCUCUUCAUAUCAGGUCACAAUAAAGCUCCUUAAAGUAUCAUUUCCAUUUUAGCGUCCUUCACAUUUCCCUACUGUCUAUGUAAACACAUACUCUCCAUAAAGGCUGUGCAUUUUAAGGUACUUGAAUAAAGCCAUAGAAGAGGAAU
This 629-nucleotide long non-coding RNA is filed under the name Monodelphis domestica (gray short-tailed opossum). RNAcentral describes it as "lncRNA (ENSMODG00000032576.2)". The record is from RNAcentral. Lineage: Eukaryota; Metazoa; Chordata; Mammalia; Didelphimorphia; Didelphidae.